RNAcentral lists this ribosomal RNA (1359 nucleotides) under Campylobacter coli. RNAcentral describes it as "bacterial SSU rRNA". It matches the Rfam family "Bacterial small subunit ribosomal RNA", at positions 66 to 1441 of the family's 1533-position model. Lineage: Bacteria; Pseudomonadati; Campylobacterota; Epsilonproteobacteria; Campylobacterales; Campylobacteraceae. The record is from RNAcentral.
AUGAAGCUUCUAGCUUGCUAGAAGUGGAUUAGUGGCGCACGGGUGAGUAAGGUAUAGUUAAUCUGCCCUACACAAGAGGACAACAGUUGGAAACGACUGCUAAUACUCUAUACUCCUGCUUAACACAAGUUGAGUAGGGAAAGUUUUUCGGUGUAGGAUGAGACUAUAUAGUAUCAGCUAGUUGGUAAGGUAAUGGCUUACCAAGGCUAUGACGCUUAACUGGUCUGAGAGGAUGAUCAGUCACACUGGAACUGAGACACGGUCCAGACUCCUACGGGAGGCAGCAGUAGGGAAUAUUGCGCAAUGGGGGAAACCCUGACGCAGCAACGCCGCGUGGAGGAUGACACUUUUCGGAGCGUAAACUCCUUUUCUUAGGGAAGAAUUCUGACGGUACCUAAGGAAUAAGCACCGGCUAACUCCGUGCCAGCAGCCGCGGUAAUACGGAGGGUGCAAGCGUUACUCGGAAUCACUGGGCGUAAAGGGCGCGUAGGCGGAUUAUCAAGUCUCUUGUGAAAUCUAAUGGCUUAACCAUUAAACUGCUUGGGAAACUGAUAGUCUAGAGUGAGGGAGAGGCAGAUGGAAUUGGUGGUGUAGGGGUAAAAUCCGUAGAUAUCACCAAGAAUACCCAUUGCGAAGGCGAUCUGCUGGAACUCAACUGACGCUAAGGCGCGAAAGCGUGGGGAGCAAACAGGAUUAGAUACCCUGGUAGUCCACGCCCUAAACGAUGUACACUAGUUGUUGGGGUGCUAGUCAUCUCAGUAAUGCAGCUAACGCAUUAAGUGUACCGCCUGGGGAGUACGGUCGCAAGAUUAAAACUCAAAGGAAUAGACGGGGACCCGCACAAGCGGUGGAGCAUGUGGUUUAAUUCGAAGAUACGCGAAGAACCUUACCUGGGCUUGAUAUCCUAAGAACCUUUUAGAGAUAAGAGGGUGCUAGCUUGCUAGAACUUAGAGACAGGUGCUGCACGGCUGUCGUCAGCUCGUGUCGUGAGAUGUUGGGUUAAGUCCCGCAACGAGCGCAACCCACGUAUUUAGUUGCUAACGGUUCGGCCGAGCACUCUAAAUAGACUGCCUUCGUAAGGAGGAGGAAGGUGUGGACGACGUCAAGUCAUCAUGGCCCUUAUGCCCAGGGCGACACACGUGCUACAAUGGCAUAUACAAUGAGACGCAAUACCGCGAGGUGGAGCAAAUCUAUAAAAUAUGUCCCAGUUCGGAUUGUUCUCUGCAACUCGAGAGCAUGAAGCCGGAAUCGCUAGUAAUCGUAGAUCAGCCAUGCUACGGUGAAUACGUUCCCGGGUCUUGUACUCACCGCCCGUCACACCAUGGGAGUUGAUUUCACUCGAAGCCGGAAUACUAAACU